RNAcentral lists this ribosomal RNA (255 nucleotides) under Mycobacterium sp. ITM-2017-0098. Its description in RNAcentral is "partial 16S ribosomal RNA". It matches the Rfam family "Bacterial small subunit ribosomal RNA", at positions 1131 to 1383 of the family's 1533-position model. The record is from RNAcentral. Lineage: Bacteria; Bacillati; Actinomycetota; Actinomycetes; Mycobacteriales; Mycobacteriaceae.
GCGGGGACUCGUGAGAGACUGCCGGGGUCAACUCGGAGGAAGGUGGGGAUGACGUCAAGUCAUCAUGCCCCUUAUGUCCAGGGCUUCACACAUGCUACAAUGGCCGGUACAAAGGGCUGCGAUGCCGGGAGGUGGAGCGAAUCCUUUCAAAGCCGGUCUCAGUUCGGAUCGGGGUCUGCAACUCGACCCCGUGAAGUCGGAGUCGCUAGUAAUCGCAGAUCAGCAACGCUGCGGUGAAUACGUUCCCGGGCCUUG